RNAcentral lists this long non-coding RNA (1606 nucleotides) under Hordeum vulgare. RNAcentral describes it as "long non-coding RNA (HVUL_LNC007585)". The record is from RNAcentral. Lineage: Eukaryota; Viridiplantae; Streptophyta; Magnoliopsida; Poales; Poaceae.
UCUCCUGUCGUGCUCGCCACCAGCAAGCGCAUGUCGGUGGGGGAGGUAGUAAUCGCCGGCGGCGUUGGGGCGCAAGGUAUUUUCUCCCCUGUGUCCCUGCUGUUUAUCGCUCUGCCCAAUUUUUCAUGUGUUGGUCGAUGUGAUUUCCCCUGUGUCCCUGCUGUUUAUCAUUCAGUUCAUCGUCAUGGUCGCCGGUCAUAGAGCUCGUCGCAGGUGUUGCUCAGUUAGGUGGUUGUUUUGGCCAGGAAAGUUUGUGAUAGCUUAGUUCAUCAAGAACGCUCUGAUAUGUUUUGCAGGCACCUAUCCACACGUGUAGCCAGUCACAGAGCUCGCCGCCGUUGUCGCUCAGUUAGCCAAGUCUCAGUACCAGUUAUCAGUCUUCAGUAUACAGUCAUCAGUCUCCGUUAGAUUACUUGUCAAUCAGUGUCCUCAGUUUCCCAUCUUUCCUGAUUGUUCACUGCUUGAGUGCUUAUCAGUCAAAACCUAGUCUUUACUCUUUACACUACUUCAGUGUCUUUCUCAGUACAUCUUUGUUUGUAAAGUCAGGCAUGUUUCUUUAUUUUUUAUUUCAGUCAUUUAUUAUCUUCUGUGUGAGCUUCCUGAUGCGACUGAUUUUCUCUGUUCAGUUUAAGUCAUUGUUCAUUCUUCAGUGUUGUUCUGUGUUCUUAUCAGUACCCUUUCAUCAGUGCUUAUUUCAUCAAUCCUCGGUUCUUCUUCGGAUCAGUCUUUAGCGCUUCAGUAUUCAGCCUCAUUAUUUAUUAUUUCAGUCCAUCAUAUUGUAUUUAUGUUUCAGUAUACGUCAUAUUUAUUUCAUUGUAGUUCAUUGUUCCACUCGGUCUUAUUCUUAGUCUCAAUUCUCAAGUCUCAGUUUUCCUCACAUGAAGAUUUGUUUCUUCAGUUUCAGUAGUUUCAUUGUUAAGUGCCAUUUUAUUCAGUUCCGUCGGUAGUUUCAGUGUUACAUGUCAUUUUUUCAUUUUUUUUCAGUAUCAUUGUUAGGUGUCAUUUUCUUCAGUUUUUCAGAUUUCAGUGUGUCGUUUGUCAGUAUUCAGUUUUGUUCGAGUUCUCAAUCAUGUAGUUGAGUUACUCAUUUUGGGUUUGACUGAUAGUCUUCGCCUCUUCGGUAUUCAGUUUGAUCAGAUAUUCAUUCUAGUUUUCAGUCAUCUAUUUGAUUUAUCACUAAUUUAGUUUGAACUGAUAUUCAAUAUAGUUUUCAGUUUAUGUGGUUGAUACUCAUUUUAGGUGUUCCAAGAUGGCAUUGCAGAUAAUCUUUAGGAUUUUUUUUAGUUUUUAGUUUUCUAUUUUCACUUUUGUAUCAUUUUCAAUUCUUCAGUUCUGCUUAGUUGAGUAGUCAUUGUUCGACUUUUAUUUAGUUAUCUUUUCUUAGUUUUCACUCUAAAACCCAUAUUUAGUUAGCCAUUCUAUUAUAGUUACUUGUCUUUCUCAAUAUUUCAAACCUUUUAGUUUUUUUCAGUAUGACCACCGUUAUGUUUUCUUUGGUUUUUGGAUCAUUCUUAGAUGAUUAGGAGAGUUGCCUCUCUGCUUUCAUGUGUAACCUCCCUAUCUUUCUACCUCUUUUGGCGCGUGUGCACGUGCAGCUCUUUUUAAU